This 267-nucleotide long non-coding RNA is filed under the name Capsicum annuum. Its description in RNAcentral is "long non-coding RNA (CANN_LNC008595)". The record is from RNAcentral. Lineage: Eukaryota; Viridiplantae; Streptophyta; Magnoliopsida; Solanales; Solanaceae.
CCUUCAAUUUCAUCUUCUUCAAAUAUAUCAUUGCCUUCUUCUACAUGUGUUUGCACCUGCAUUCUCUGCAUCCAGUACUACUUCAUCAAGCUCAUCUUGUCCACCUUUUACCAUUCCUUUGUUGCCUUUUUUACCUUCAUCUCUCCCGGUCCAUUCUGUUAUUCCCAGUUUUCUGCCUGGUUUCUCUAUGGUCCAAAGUGUCCAACCAUCUCUCUUACCUUAUGUUGGAUCAACUGAACCAACAAUUUCAUCUAUUUUUCACCCUGC